RNAcentral lists this ribosomal RNA (518 nucleotides) under uncultured bacterium. RNAcentral describes it as "bacterial SSU rRNA". It matches the Rfam family "Bacterial small subunit ribosomal RNA", at positions 8 to 518 of the family's 1533-position model. The record is from RNAcentral.
AGAGUUUGAUUAUGGCUCAGGAUGAACGCUAGCUACAGGCUUAACACAUGCAAGUCGAGGGGCAGCAUUGGAGUAGCAAUACUCAGAUGGCGACCGGCGCACGGGUGAGUAACACGUAUCCAACCUGCCGCUUACUCGGGGAUAGCCUUUCGAAAGAAAGAUUAAUACCCGAUGGUAUAAAGAGUUCGCAUGUUCUCUUUAUUAAAGAAUUUCGGUAAGCGAUGGGGAUGCGUUCCAUUAGAUAGUUGGCGGGGUAACGGCCCACCAAGUCUACGAUGGAUAGGGGUUCUGAGAGGAAGGUCCCCCACAUUGGAACUGAGACACGGUCCAAACUCCUACGGGAGGCAGCAGUGAGGAAUAUUGGUCGAUGGACGAGAGUCUGAACCAGCCAAAGUAGCGUGAAGGAUGACUGCCCUAUGGGUUGUAAACUUCUUUUAUAAGGGAAUAAAGUGAGGGACGUGUCCCUUUUUGUAUGUACCUUAUGAAUAAGGAUCGGCUAACUCCGUGCCAGCCGCCGC